Molecule: ribosomal RNA, 406 nt
Filed under: uncultured bacterium
Lineage: Bacteria
Description: partial 16S ribosomal RNA
Rfam family: Bacterial small subunit ribosomal RNA
Source: RNAcentral
AUUGAACGCUGGCGGCAGGCCUAACACAUGCAAGUCGAGCGAGCGGCGGACGGGUGAGUAAUGUCUGGGAAACUGCCUGAUGGAGGGGGAUAACUACUGGAAACGGUAGCUAAUACCGCAUACCAUCAGAUGUGCCCAGAUGGGAUUAGCUAGUAGGUGGGGUAACGGUUCACCUAGGCGACGAUCCCUAGCGGGUCUGAGAGGAUGAUCCACAACACUGGGACUGAAACACGGCCCAGACUCCUGCGGGAGGCAGCAGUGGGGAAUAUUGGACAAUAGGGGGAACCGUGGUCCAGCCAUGCCGCGUGUGUGAAGAAGGCCUUAUGGUUGUAAAGCACUUUAAGCGAGGAGGCGUUACUCGCAGAAUAAUCACCGGCUAACUCUGUGCCAGCAGCCGCGGUAAUUC